RNAcentral lists this long non-coding RNA (4300 nucleotides) under Homo sapiens (human). RNAcentral describes it as "HSALNT0028380". Lineage: Eukaryota; Metazoa; Chordata; Mammalia; Primates; Hominidae. The record is from RNAcentral.
GUUCUGGCUUCUACCUUGAUUGGGACAGACUCAAAAUAUGGAAAAUUCUCCAGUUUGGGAAUUGCGUGCAAAAGAUGCAGGGGGGGCCAGAUAUUUGCUGUGGGGAGGAUCGAGUGGAAGCAACUGGGUGGAGUUUAUUCUCAAGCCUGAGGCAGCUGCCAGAAAAACAGGACUGAAGGGCACCAGGCUGCGUGAGGACCCCGGUGCCAGGCUGGGUUUAGGGUGCAGUGGAUGGGGCUGAGCCCCUCUCCCAUCCAUAAGUCCUGCCUGGAUGCCAGCUCCCACCCUGGGGCCAUGGCUCCAAGACCACCUUGAAUAAUCCAUGUGCCUGCAGCCCUACCUACCCUGCAUUAAAUCAUCCACUCCUCAUCACCAGGAACCAGGACCAGGUGAGCCUCGGAUCUUCAUAGCCCGUCUCACCUGCUGCACUUCUCUUCACUACCUGAGUCCUUAGGGCCUAGAAAGCCUCACGCAAAUCCUAACCAAGCGACCACAGGUGGAGGACAGUGACAUCUGGAGCAUCUGAUGGAGGCUCUGGGGCAGUUCAGAAGAAAGGCCUUUUUUUUUUUUUUUUUUUUUUUUGAGACAGGGUCACUCGAUCUCGGCUCACUGCAACCUCUGCCUCCGAGGUUCAAGUGAUUCUCAUGCUUCAGCUCCCCCAAGUAGGUGGGAUUACAGGUGCGUGCCACCAUGACUGGCUAAUUUUUGUAUUUUUUGGUAGAGACAGGGUUUCACCAUGUUGGCCAGGCUGGUUUCGAACUCCUGACCUCAAGUGUUUCUCCCACCUCAGCCUCCCCAAGUGCUGGGAUUACAGACGAGAGCCACCGCGCCUGGCCUGAGAAAGGCUUUUUCUAUGCCACAGAGAAGUUGGGCUCCCAGUCACGGGAGCAGCUGCGGCCGGUUCCAGCAGGGGGCAGCUCUCAAUGACAGCUGAAGGGCAUUGCAUAGCCAGAUGCGCACAUGGCUUUUAGGAACUGGGCUCUGCCUCCCCUGAAGUCUGUCUGAACCUGGGGCAUCACCGUCUCACCGGGCUGGGGCUUUGAUGCAUCAGGCCCAGAGAAAGAAACUUGGUAGAGGAGAGGAGGAAGGAGAUGCAACCUUCCAGGAAGCAGAAAUGUUCAAGGACUCUCAAAGGAAACUCCAGAAAACAAGGAGAGGCAGGAAUUGCCUUAUGAUCGCUUCUAGCUCUAUGUCUCACCUUUGAAAUAAAGCAUCUUCCUGGUCCCAGUGCAGAGACAGGUCCUGGGGGGAAGCAGGAGAGGAGAGAAUCAGCUCCUGUUCUCCUGUCUGCCUCAACUUCCCCAGGCCUACCCAGCCCACCUGGGCUAGGACGGAGGUGCUGGCAGCCUCUCCCCAUUAACCACACCCUGCAGGCUGAGGCGGGCAGGCUGAGGCGGGCAGGCUGGGGGCUGAGGAGACGCUCCUUCCCUGCAUUCCAUGGACAUGGUGCCUUGGGCCAGGCUGCAGAGGCCGCAGGGCCUGGCAUGUGCCCCGUGAAACUGGCCCUGCAGUGAGGCGGGGGCAGUGGGGAUGGAUGAACUCAUUCUUUCCUCGUCUGAGGCUGCUCUGAUCGUAAAACCGUGGACGCUGAGCAAAUGGCCCCAGAUGGGGAAACUGAGACCCAAAAUGAAGGGCGCAGUCGCCGAGUCAGCCAGUGACAGAGCUGGGGCUUCACUCCCGCUUCUCGAUUCUCAGCUCCCAUCCUCGUCCCUCUGCCUUUUAUGGAGCAGCAUGGAAGGAAUCAAAAACAGGCAGAGAACUUCAGGGGCCACUCUGGGCUGCUGUGAGUGAAGACUAGAGUUUGUGGGUGCAGUGCCUCCGGCUGCAGCUCUCCAGGCCCACACAGACCUGCUCCUGACACUCCUGGGGGUGCGCUGCCUGGGGGUCUUCCCUCCCCAGCCCUUCCCCAAGGUACAGUGAGUGCCUCAGGUCCUCCAGCUGCCCCUCUCCCAGUGGGAACUCACACUAGACAUGCGAGGGCAGUCAAGGAGAGCGCUUUCCUCGCUCGAGGAUAUGGGAGAGCUUUCCACCCUCCUCCUCAGGCCCCGGAGGCAGCGAGUGUGCCUGUCAGGGUUAUCAGGGUGCUCUGGGAAGGGCUCCACCUCCCCCGCAGGCUUCGCCAGAAUGCCCAACUGGGCUGCUCUCACUGCCUUUGACCUUCAGAACUCCCAAAAUACUCCCACCUCCUCCAGGAAGAAGGCGGGGUAGUGGGGGCUUUGGAGACCAAUAAGCCAGGGCCUGACUCCUAACUGGCCACCUAAUAGCUUUGUGACCUUGAGCAAGUGCCCUGGUCUUCCUGAGGGCGUGUUCUCAAGCUUCUCCGUUGUGUGGUUUUAGUGAGGGCUGGAGAUGGCGACACGUAGUAGACUCUCAAUUCAUGGUGGCUCUUAUUAUUAAAGCUGGCCAGGAUGUCCCUUCUGACCCCCAACCCUCCAGUUCCCAUAGUGCUGGGCCUUGUAACUGUCACUGUCCUGUGUAUGGGGUCAGGCUCUGGCCUCCCUCCCUCGCAACCCCUUCGGGGCAGGGUGAGAGUAAACAGGUCCCCUAGGUGUGGGACAGACGCCCGCUGCCCUCCUCCUGCCUUAUUCAUUCUCUCCAAAAACAUUAAUCACUGGUGGAUGGACAAACUGUAGGGCACCCGUAUGAUGGAAUGACCCCAGCAAUAAGGAAGAACAAAAUAGUAAUACAAUGAAUGACAUGGAUGACUCUCAAGGCACUGCGCUGAAGUUCAGCAGUUAAAUGAAAGCCGCCUAACUCAAAAGGCUGCAGACUCCGCCGCUCCCUGCGUCUGAACUCCAGGGAGGGCCACGCUGCAGCCAGAAAGCAGGUCAGGGCUUGCCUGAGGUGGGAUGUGGGAGCGGGGAUUGAUUGCAAUGGGGAAUGAGGGAAUUUUAUGGGGGGAUAAAAAAAAUCAAUGUUUCAUUUGAUGGUAGGUAGGUGGCUAUUUCCAUUUGGCAGAGCUUAUCAAACUGUAUGCGUAAAACAAGCAAAUUCUACAGUAUGCAAACUACACCAUAACGAAGCUGGCAGAGUAAAGACCUUCCAGUUUGGAAACUAUGAUCUGGGAAGUGACCCAUAUUGCCUGGCCAGAUACACGAGGGAAGAGUCAUCUCCCUAGGAAACGCUUAAGAAAGGCUCAGUCCUUAAAAGAAAUAAGAAACUGAGUGACCAGAAAAAAUGAGGGAGAAUUUGAAGAAAUACAGUACCAGGGCAUCAUAGAAGAGCUGGCUUUAAAUAGACUACAGAUAGUGCACUCAAGUCUUAGUGCAUUUGUACGCUGCCUGAAUUACCUGACCUUGGUCCCUUAUCUGAUAUCCUCAUCCCCCCGGGCUCUACCUGAAAAAAAAGCUCACACGCAUCUUUCAUAAAUAAUAAGAAGCUAUCCUUUAAUGAGAUGAUAUUUUAUCUCUCCUGGCCCAGGACGGGGAAGGCGCCCGGCCCCUCUUGAGUCACCAGGCUCUUAUGCAGUGGAGUUUCUCUCCUCUGCUUGCUUCCAGAGCCUUCUGCAGGCUACCAAGACAAAGCUUUCUCCCAUUCCUCUGGGCCCGGUCCUUCUGCUCUCUGCUGCUGCCCUCUCUGUCCCCAUUCCUCCUCUGCCUCUGGAAUGAUAGCAUCUCCCAGUGGCUUUCAUGUUGGAGUGCUGGCUCCUUAACUUAAGGUCAGCUUCUGAGGGCAGAAGGCUUGUCCCAUUUUCUCUCCUUCCCUCUGCCCUCUCCUUUGGAAUAAACGCACACAUUCACCAAUGCAGCCAUUGACUGUGUGGCUCGCCCACACUGUUCAGGAGAGAGGCCCAGCUCCAUCUAGCUUGAGCCCAAAGGAAAUUUAUUGGGCCACAUUCCUGAGAAGUCCAGGACGUGUCAGCUAGGUUGAGACACAGCUGGAUUCAGGAUUGACAAUCUCUUUUCCUGUCUCACUCUCUGUCUGCCUCUGUCUCAAUGUCUUCUUCCCUUCCUCUCCUCCCUUCCCCUUCUUCUCCCUAAUAUCUUUCUCUCUCUAAGUAAGUAUCCCCUGAGUAUACUUCCUCACUCCUCCUUAAGCCCGAAAACAAAAGAACAAGACACAAUAAAUCCCUCAUGUAAAUGGUCAUCCCUGACCUGGGGAAGUCCAAGAUAUCAAAAGCACAGCCUAUUAUUUUAUCUAUUCUUUCUAGUUGUGUAUAUAGCUGACUUUUCUGCUAGACUUUCCUUGUGUCCUCAAGGUGCCUGGCACAGGCCCAGGUACAUGGCAGCCCCCAGCCCCACCCCAGAUAGGAUGUGACACUUGGUUGGGGUGAGGUCAGAGUGGGAAAGGGAAGAAUCAG